Oncorhynchus tshawytscha (Chinook salmon) is the source of this 520-nucleotide long non-coding RNA. The record is from Ensembl. NCBI's taxonomy places the organism in Eukaryota, Metazoa, Chordata, Actinopteri, Salmoniformes, Salmonidae.
AGUAUCCCAACAGACAUUAAUAUUACAAUAUAACGACAACUCACAGGUAGGGACGUGUGUGAACCCUGUGUGUUAGCUAGGGAUGGGCCUCGGGUUAUUCAGUAUCCCUACAGACAUUAAUAUUAAAAUACAACGACAACUCACAGGUAGGGACGUGUGUGAACCCUGUGUGUUAGCUAGGGAUGGGCCUCGGGUUAUUCAGUAUCCCUACAGACAUUAAUAUUACACUACUUUGUGUGAGUAUUCCUAUUUUUGAAUUGGUAGUUACAGUCUUGUCUCAUCGCUGCAACUCCCGUACGGACUCGGGAGAGGCGACGGUCGAGAGCCGUGCGUCCUCCGAAACACUAGCCAGCCAAGGACAGAAUGCGCGUUUUAUCCCGGAAGCAAACACCGAACACCUGGCGAUGUCACAGGAGUCGCUAGAGAACAUCCCUUCUUGCCAAACCCUCCCCUAACCCGGACGACGCUGAGCCAAUUGUGUCUUCCCGGUCGCGGCUCGCUGCGACAGAGCCUGGACUUC